AUUGAACGCUGGCGGCAGGCUUAACACAUGCAAGUCGAGCGGUAACAGAGAGUAGCUUGCUACUCUGCUGACGAGCGGCGGACGGGUGAGUAAUGCCUAGGAAUCUGCCUAAUAGUGGGGGAUAACUUGCCGAAAGGUAAGCUAAUACCGCAUACGUCCUACGGGAGAAAGCAGGGGACCUUCGGGCCUUGCGCUAUUAGAUGAGCCUAGGUCGGAUUAGUUAGUUGGUGAGGUAAUGGCUCACCAAGACCGCGAUCCGUAACUGGUCUGAGAGGAUGAUCAGUCACACUGGAACUGAGACACGGUCCAGACUCCUACGGGAGGCAGCAGUGGGGAAUAUUGGACAAUGGGGGAAACCCUGAUCCAGCCAUGCCGCGUGUGUGAAGAAGGUCUUAGGAUUGUAAAGCACUUUAAGUUGGGAGGAAGAGCAGUUAACUAAUAUUUGACUGUUUUGACGUUACCGACAGAAUAAGCACCGGCUAACUUCGUG
RNAcentral lists this ribosomal RNA (490 nucleotides) under uncultured bacterium. Its description in RNAcentral is "bacterial SSU rRNA". It matches the Rfam family "Bacterial small subunit ribosomal RNA", at positions 30 to 507 of the family's 1533-position model. The record is from RNAcentral.